GACGAACGCUGGCGGCGUGCUUAACACAUGCAAGUCGAACGGAAAGGCCAUGCUUUUGUGGGGUGCUCGAGUGGCGAACGGGUGAGUAAAACGUGAGUAAAAUGCCCUUGACUUUGGGAUAACUUCAGGAAACUGGGGCUAAUACAGGAUAGGAGAUACUGAUGCAUGGUGGGGGAUGGAAAGUUUCGGCGGUUGUGGAUGGACUCGCGGCUUAUCAGCUUGUUGGUGGGGUAGUGGCUUACAAAGGCUUUGAAGGGUAGCCGGCCUGGGAGCGUGACCGGCCUCAUUGGUACUAAGAUACGCACCAGUCUCCUACGGGAGGCAGCGGUCGAGAAUAUUGCACAAUAGCCCGAAGCCUGAGGCAGCGACGCCGCGUGCGUAAUGACGUGCUACUGGGUGUAAACCGCUGUCUCCUUUGACGAAGCGUUAGUGACGGUAAUUGGUAAAGAAGCACCGGCUAACUACGUG
This 468-nucleotide ribosomal RNA is filed under the name uncultured bacterium. RNAcentral describes it as "partial 16S ribosomal RNA". It matches the Rfam family "Bacterial small subunit ribosomal RNA", at positions 28 to 507 of the family's 1533-position model. The record is from RNAcentral.